UUGGGACCAUUUGGUAUCCUGGCUAUUGCAGACCAAACACUUUCUGAACUCACACCUGUGUUUUUCCGUCCUGUCAAUUCAACUGACGGCACUCUCAAGACUUAUUUCUGUGCUGACGAAACAAGAUCAUCAAAAGCUCUUGAUGUCUUUAAGCAAGUUUAUGGAAGCACUGUUCCUGUGCUGGAAGAUGAAAAACUAGGCAUGAGGGUUCUGGUCGAUCAUUCGAUUGUGGAAAGUUUCGCACAAGGAGGAAGAACAGUAAUCACAUCGCGGAUUUAUCCAACAGAAGCAAUCUAUGGAGCUGCAAGGCUGUUCUUAUUCAACAACGCAACUUCUGUGAACGUUAAAGCUACACUCAAGAUAUGGGAGUUGAAUUCUGCCUUUAUCCGUCCGUUUCCAUUUGUUGACAGCAAUUAAAACACUUUUGUUUUGUCAAAUUCGUCCUAUUUGACGUUCCAUUUGAUUGCCAAUGCCCAGAGAUUGCAAAUCCUUGGCCAACCUAUGAUGUAUUAUUUCUUUUUUUUUUUUUGGUAAAAAAAUUGUAGGGGG
RNAcentral lists this unclassified non-coding RNA (549 nucleotides) under Hevea brasiliensis (rubber tree). The record is from RNAcentral. Lineage: Eukaryota; Viridiplantae; Streptophyta; Magnoliopsida; Malpighiales; Euphorbiaceae.